Non-coding RNA from Triticum aestivum (bread wheat), 126 nucleotides. The record is from Rfam. Lineage: Eukaryota; Viridiplantae; Streptophyta; Magnoliopsida; Poales; Poaceae.
CAUGUACUCCCUCCGUCCCGAAAAGAUUGUCCUUCAAAUGAAUGUAUCUAGCAUCAAGUUAGUGCUAGAUACAUCCAUCUGAGAGACAAAUUUUGGACAAACUUUUUUGGAUGGAGGGAGUAUCCC